RNAcentral lists this ribosomal RNA (502 nucleotides) under uncultured bacterium. RNAcentral describes it as "bacterial SSU rRNA". It matches the Rfam family "Bacterial small subunit ribosomal RNA", at positions 30 to 527 of the family's 1533-position model. The record is from RNAcentral.
AUUGAACGCUGGCGGCAUGCCUUACACAUGCAAGUCGAACGGAUUUGAGGAGCUUGCUCCUCAAGUUAGUGGCGAACGGGUGAGUAAAGCAUCGGAACGUACCCAGUCGUGGGGGAUAAUGUAGCGAAAGUUACGCUAAUACCGCAUACGAUCUGAGGAUGAAAGCAGGGGAUCGCAAGACCUUGCGCGAUUGGAGCGGCCGAUGUCGGAUUAGCUAGUUGGUAGGGUAAAAGCCUACCAAGGCGACGAUCCGUAGCUGGUCUGAGAGGAUGAUCAGCCACACUGGGACUGAGACACGGCCCAGACUCCUACGGGAGGCAGCAGUGGGGAAUUUUGGACAAUGGGCGAAAGCCUGAUCCAGCCAUGCCGCGUGAGUGAAGAAGGCCUUCGGUGUAAAGCUCUUCUAGACGGAAAGAAACUUACCGGGUUAAGUACCUACGGAGGAGUGACGGUACCGUAAGAAGAAGCACGGCUAACUACGUGCCAGCAGCCGCGGUAAACG